Molecule: ribosomal RNA, 805 nt
Filed under: uncultured bacterium
Lineage: Bacteria
Description: bacterial SSU rRNA
Rfam family: Bacterial small subunit ribosomal RNA
Source: RNAcentral
AGAGUUUGAUCCUGGCUCAGAGUGAACGCUGGCGGUAGGCCUAACACAUGCAAGUCGAACGGCAGCACAGUAAGAGCUUGCUCUUACGGGUGGCGAGUGGCGGACGGGUGAGGAAUGCAUCGGAAUCUACUCUGUCGUGGGGGAUAACGUAGGGAAACUUACGCUAAUACCGCAUACGACCUACGGGUGAAAGCAGGGGAUCUUCGGACCUUGCGCGAUUGAAUGAGCCGAUGCCCGAUUAGCUAGUUGGCGGGGUAAGAGCCCACCAAGGCGACGAUCGGUAGCUGGUCUGAGAGGAUGAUCAGCCACACUGGAACUGAGACACGGUCCAGACUCCUACGGGAGGCAGCAGUGGGGAAUAUUGGACAAUGGGCGCAAGCCUGAUCCAGCCAUACCGCGUGGGUGGAGAAGGCCUUCGGGUUGUAAAGCCCUUUUGUUGGGAAAGAAAAGCAGUCGGUUAAUACCCGAUUGUUCUGACGGUACCCAAAGAAUAAGCACCGGCUAACUUCGUGCCAGCAGCCGCGGUAAUACGAAGGGUGCAAGCGUUACUCGGAAUUACUGGGCGUAAAGCGUGCGUAGGUGGUUGUUUAAGUCUGUCGUGAAAGCCCUGGGCUCAACCUGGGAAUUGCGAUGGAAACUGGGCGACUAGAGUGUGGCAGAGGGUAGUGGAAUUCCUGGUGUAGCAGUGAAAUGCGUAGAGAUCAGGAGGAACAUCCGUGGCGAAGGCGACUGCCUGGGCCAACACUGACACUGAGGCACGAAAGCGUGGGGAGCAAACAGAAGGGGAUACCCUGGUAGUCCACGC